This 1474-nucleotide long non-coding RNA is filed under the name Rhinopithecus bieti (black snub-nosed monkey). RNAcentral describes it as "lncRNA (ENSRBIG00000045259.1)". The record is from RNAcentral. Lineage: Eukaryota; Metazoa; Chordata; Mammalia; Primates; Cercopithecidae.
CCGAGGCCGUUCCCCAAGGAUGCGCGGGCCCGAGGGGAGGGCGACGCGGCCCGCGCGGCGCGUUCCUGGCCGCCUGGAGUCCGGAAACGGUGAAUCCCACUCGCAGCGGACCCAGGGGAGGCGCAGCGGGACGGGAUCGGUGGGAACGGAAACAGCGGUCACCCGGAAGCCCAGAACCAGCGAGUGCGUGGUGCAGUGUUCGCUUCCCAAACGUUGUGGGACAAACGCCUUUCAACUGUUUCUGGACGCCCGUGGGCCGGCGUUACCCUGUUGAGCUAUUCCUUUCGAUUAGCUUAGUAUUGUUAGUACUGUUGUUAUUUGGAAACUUUAGCCUACAACGAUAUAUUUCUUAAUUUGGAAAAUGAAGACCUAUCUGCCCAAUCAGCCACUCUGUUUCAGGCAUUCACCUCUGGUCCGUUUGAUCUCAGGCAGCGUGCUGAAGAGGAUGAACCGGGCAGCUGGAGUUUCCAGGGGCACGGAGCCUGCGGGGCGCACGGAGGGGCCUCGAGCGCGUGGCCCUGCGCGUCCCGGGGGCGCCCGCUGUCCACAGCCGCCUCGGUAGCUCCGCCACCACCCCUGGGAGAUGGAACAGCGGGUGUGGGGAGGAACGAACCCGGUUUUGGUGAAGUUCUAGUUCCACGCUGCUAGAAACGUUCUUCAGGUCAACUCUGGAGAGGAUUGGACUGGGAGAGGUCUGCAGGAGGCUGGAGUCUGUUUUCAGGAGCUUAAUGGGUGGCGAGCCCGCAGUGUUAUAAUUUUUAUUGCAGGCCGGUCCUAUCUCAGGCACUCUGCUGAGCUUUGCGGGUUUCUCCUAGUCCUACUCAACCACCGUGUGCCCCAAGCUCUUCCCAUCCAGGCCAGGACCAGGGUGAGGCCAGCAGGGAUCUGAGGUCCAGAACUUAAGGAAGCGCUCACUCUCAGGCCUGACUCUCCACCAGCACAACCCCGAGAAUGGGUGCCUCCUUAGAUGUUGCACCCCAGGUGCCUGUCUCACCUGGUCCGGAUCCCACCUUGCGAAGGAGGAAUCCAGAGGUCAGAGAGGAAUUUUGCGACACUGGUUGCUAUGGCUACACGUAUUGGACCCCUAAGCCCUGGAAGCUGGGGUCAGAGAGAGUGGACAUCCUCACUGCUCCUGGAGGGACCAAUGCAACAGGGGGAGCAAAGAGGGAAGAGAGAAGCCCCUCCCAUUCGCUUCUACUGGGGCUUGUUAAGCCAUUGCCUUGGGGGCCGGCUGAUCAGCGGCAGCCAACAGCCGGCGGCUUCGGCAGGCAGAAGCAAGGACAGCCUGUGGCUACUGCAGCCCCACUGCCCGGCCACUCUUCAUGACGGGAGAGUGCCUUGGGAGGAAUGUAAAGGCAAACCACGAAACUGGCAAAUGCAUGAAGUCAAUCUCCAUGGUGCACUUCCACUCCAGGGACUGUACGAGAGGAAAAAAAGGUGCUUCAUAUCCCAACCAAAAGUAUUCUCUGUCUGA